RNAcentral lists this ribosomal RNA (461 nucleotides) under uncultured bacterium. Its description in RNAcentral is "partial 16S ribosomal RNA". It matches the Rfam family "Bacterial small subunit ribosomal RNA", at positions 338 to 795 of the family's 1533-position model. The record is from RNAcentral.
CCUACGGGAGGCAGCAGUGAGGAAUAUUGGUCAAUGGGCGGGAGCCUGAACCAGCCAAGCCGCGUGAGGGAAGAAGGUACAGCGUAUCGUAAACCUCUUUUGUCAGGGAACAAAGGCGGGGACUAGUCCCCGGAUGAGGGUACCUGAAGAAAAAGCAUCGGCUAACUCCGUGCCAGCAGCCGCGGUAAUACGGGGGAUGCAAGCGUUAUCCGGAUUUAUUGGGUUUAAAGGGUGCGUAGGCUGUGAGGUAAGUCAGCGGUGAAAUGCCCCCGCUCAACGGGGUGAAGUGCCAUUGAUACUGCCUUGCUGGAGUGCGGAUGCCGUGGGAGGAAUGUGUGGUGUAGCGGUGAAAUGCAUAGAUAUCGAGAGGAACACUCGUGGCGAAGGCGGGUUCCUGGACAUUAACUGACGCUGAGGCACGAAGGCCAGGGGAGCGAAAGGGAUUAGAUACCCUAGUAGUC